This 484-nucleotide ribosomal RNA is filed under the name uncultured bacterium. RNAcentral describes it as "partial 16S ribosomal RNA". It matches the Rfam family "Bacterial small subunit ribosomal RNA", at positions 30 to 507 of the family's 1533-position model. The record is from RNAcentral.
AUUGAACGCUGGCGGCAGGCCUAACACAUGCAAGUCGAGCGGAUGAAGGGAGCUUGCUCCUGGAUUCAGCGGCGGACGGGUGAGUAAUGCCUAGGAAUCUGCCUGGUAGUGGGGGAUAACGUCCGGAAACGGGCGCUAAUACCGCAUACGUCCUGAGGGGGAAAGUGGGGGAUCUUCGGACCUCACGCCAUCAGAUGAGCCUAGGUCGGAUUAGCUAGUUGGUGGGGUAAAGGCCUACCAAGGCGACGAUCCGUAACUGGUCUGAGAGGAUGAUCAGUCACACUGGAACUGAGACACGGUCCAGACUCCUACGGGAGGCAGCAGUGGGGAAUAUUGGACAAUGGGCGAAAGCCUGAUCCAGCCAUGCCGCGUGUGUGAAGAAGGUCUUCGGAUUGUAAAGCACUUUAAGUUGGGAGGAAGGGCAGUAAGUUAAUACCUUGCUGUUUUGACGUUACCAACAGAAUAAGCACCGGCUAACUUCGUG